RNAcentral lists this ribosomal RNA (483 nucleotides) under uncultured bacterium. RNAcentral describes it as "bacterial SSU rRNA". It matches the Rfam family "Bacterial small subunit ribosomal RNA", at positions 29 to 487 of the family's 1533-position model. The record is from RNAcentral.
AACUAACGCUGGCGGCGUGCCUAACACAUGCAAGUCGAACGAGAAAGUUGGCUUCGGCCGAUGAGUAAAGUGGCGCACGGGUGAGUAACGCGUGGAUAAUCUGCCCUUAAGUUCGGAAUAACGUACCGAAAGGUGCGCUAAUACCGGAUAAUACUGAGUGACUACUGUUGCUUAGUCAAAGAAGGCUUCUGUUUACAUGCUUUUGCUGAAGGAUGAGUCCGCGUACCAUUAGCUAGUUGGUAGGGUAAUGGCCUACCAAGGCGACGAUGGUUAGCUGGUCUGAGAGGAUGAUCAGCCACACUGGAACUGAGACACGGUCCAGACUCCUACGGGAGGCAGCAGUGAGGAAUAUUGCGCAAUGGGGGCAACCCUGACGCAGCAACGCCGCGUGAGUGAGGAAGGUUUUCGGACCGUAAAGCUCUGUCGAGCGGGAAGAAAUGUGUCAUGGCUAAUAUCCAUGAUGCUUGACGGUACCGCUAAAGG